CGGACGGGUGAGUAACGCGUGAGAAUCUACCUUCAGGUCGGGGAUAACCCCUGGAAACGGGGGCUAAUACCGGAUAGGUCGAAAGAUGAAAGGUUAACUGCCUGAAGAGGAGCUCGCGUCUGAUUAGCUAGUAGGUGUGGUAAGAGCGCACCUAGGCGACGAUCAGUAGCUGGUCUGAGAGGAUGAGCAGCCACACUGGGACUGAGACACGGCCCAGACUCCUACGGGAGGCAGCAGUGGGGAAUUUUCCGCAAUGGGCGAAAGCCUGACGGAGCAAGACCGCGUGGGGGAGGAAGGCCUUUGGGUUGUAAACCCCUUUUGUUAGGGAAGAAAAAAAUGACGGUACCUAACGAAUCAGCCUCGGCUAACUCCGUGCCAGCAGCCGCGGUAAUACGGAGGAGGCAAGCGUUAUCCGGAAUUAUUGGGCGUAAAGCGUCCGUAGGUGGCCCGGCAAGUCUGCUGUCAAAGACCACAGCUCAACUGUGGAAAGGCAGUGGAAACUGCAAGGCUAGAGUGCGGUAGGGGUAGAGGGAAUUCCCAGUGUAGCGGUGAAAUGCGUAGAGAUUGGGAAGAACACCGGUGGCGAAAGCGCUCUACUGGGCCGCAACUGACACUGAUGGACGAAAGCUAGGGGAGCGAAUGGGAUUAGAUACCCCCAGUAG
RNAcentral lists this ribosomal RNA (662 nucleotides) under Desertifilum sp. CCNM 2005. Its description in RNAcentral is "bacterial SSU rRNA". It matches the Rfam family "Bacterial small subunit ribosomal RNA", at positions 99 to 793 of the family's 1533-position model. Lineage: Bacteria; Bacillati; Cyanobacteriota; Cyanophyceae; Desertifilales; Desertifilaceae. The record is from RNAcentral.